Leptinotarsa decemlineata (Colorado potato beetle) is the source of this 779-nucleotide long non-coding RNA. NCBI's taxonomy places the organism in Eukaryota, Metazoa, Arthropoda, Insecta, Coleoptera, Chrysomelidae. The record is from RefSeq and is a predicted model, not a curated record.
UGAUGAGUCGUGUCGUUCACAAAUUGCGUUAAUUUCUGAAUCCUCAUGUUCUUCAACAAUUAUUUCCACCAACUUUGGAAAAGACAUUGAAUCAGAAAGCGACCGCCCCUAUGACGAAAGAGCAACAGAUUCGGUGAUUUCACAAAUAGCGACAACUGUGUCAGUCGAACAACAGUUUUCCAACCCCGGAAGAAAUAUCACACGAUCUCGCCGAUUAUUUUCAUGAAAAUUUUACAGAAGAAAAUCGCGAAAUAUUGAUUCGUAAAGGAUCUGACCAUUUUCAAAAUGAAGAUUCUGCCUUUUCAGAUACAUCCAGAACCUACAAAGAUGAAAAUAGUGAUUCUCACCUUCCAGAAGAGGAUACAUCGGUGGCAUGUGCUCAUGAAUAUGGACAGGCCUGGUGACCACUUCUUUGCUGCCAGGUUUCAAAAAAUUGAGGUUAUCUUCUUUGGACACAGGAAACUUGGGAGCAGGAUGUGCUGCCGGGGCAAAAUUAACAUAGAAUGAAGGCUUCAGCGGAAUGGGAAGAUGCAACGGAAAAAAUAGAUCCUUUACAUUUCCAGAAGCUGGUUUUUGAAAAAAAAUUUCAUGAUUAUUUGAAUUUAAUUGAUUUAAAAGGACCAAAAGAUCAAUAUCUUGACCCAAAACAAUGACAGUUUUAUUAGUAUCUCUGUCAAUUUCUAUCGAGGUCCUAAUUAUGUCAGCAUCAGCAUCUUCUUCUACUUCUUCCCAGGAAGACCCUUGUGAAUGUAAUCUUUUCAUUAAAGUUUUUAUUAUUU